This 206-nucleotide ribosomal RNA is filed under the name uncultured Eubacteriales bacterium. Its description in RNAcentral is "uncultured Clostridiales bacterium partial 16S ribosomal RNA". It matches the Rfam family "Bacterial small subunit ribosomal RNA", at positions 568 to 774 of the family's 1533-position model. The record is from RNAcentral. Lineage: Bacteria; Bacillati; Bacillota; Clostridia; Eubacteriales.
UGAGUAGGCGGUAAUGUAAGUCAGAUGUAAAAGGCACAGGCUUAACUUGUGUAAGCAUUUGAAACUGUAUUACUUGAGUGCAGGAGAGGUAAGUGGAAUUCCUAGUGUAGCGGUGAAAUGCGUAGAUAUUAGGAGGAACACCAGUGGCGAAGGCGACUUACUGGACUGUAACUGACGCUGAGUCACGAAAGUGUGGGUAGCAAACA